Molecule: long non-coding RNA, 445 nt
Filed under: Ananas comosus (pineapple)
Lineage: Eukaryota; Viridiplantae; Streptophyta; Magnoliopsida; Poales; Bromeliaceae
Description: long non-coding RNA (ACOM_LNC014718)
Source: RNAcentral
GGAAUUACAUUGUUUGAUCAUUUUUUUGUUUUUUGAGAGAUAGGUAGUAUACUACCUGGUUUGUUUAUUUAAUUUAGAAAUAAACUUACCUGGAAAUGUGAAUCAACUAGGAUUCGAACUUGGGACCUCGUGUACCAGCCACCAAACCCUUUGCCACUUGCCCUAGGGACGGUCGUUGAUCAUUUUUAUUUUUUUUGAGAGAGAGGAAUGUAGCAUGCUAUCUACUUUGUUUAUCUUUUUUACAAAUAAACUUAGGUAGAAAUGUGAAACAAUAGAUUCUAAACAUGGGAUCUCAGAUACCAACCACUAAAUCUUUUGUCACUUGCGCUAAGGACGGACAGUAUUGAUCGAAUAUUUUAUUAUUAUUGUGAUAGUAUAUAUCUGUGUGUGGUAUGUGUGCGUGUGUGUGUGAGAGAGAGAGAGAGAGAGAGGUGGUUGUUGAUUA